This 305-nucleotide ribosomal RNA is filed under the name uncultured bacterium. RNAcentral describes it as "bacterial SSU rRNA". It matches the Rfam family "Bacterial small subunit ribosomal RNA", at positions 28 to 334 of the family's 1533-position model. The record is from RNAcentral.
GGCGAACGCUGGCGGCGUGCCUAACACAUGCAAGUCGAACGGAGUUAAGUCUUCGGACUUAACUUAGUGGCGAACGGGUGAGUAACGCGUGAGGAACCUACCUUUCAGUGGGGGACAACAGUCGGAAACGACUGCUAAUACCGCAUAACAUGUACGGAUCGCAUGAUCUGUACAUCAAAGAUUUAUUGCUGAAAGAUGGCCUCGCGUCUGAUUAGAUAGUUGGUGAGGUAACGGCUCACCAAGUCGACGAUCAGUAGCCGGUCUGAGAGGAUGAACGGCCACAUUGGGACUGAGAUACGGCCCAG